RNAcentral lists this ribosomal RNA (85 nucleotides) under Vagococcus fluvialis. The record is from RNAcentral. Lineage: Bacteria; Bacillati; Bacillota; Bacilli; Lactobacillales; Enterococcaceae.
UUCCCAUGCCGAACACAGAAGUUAAGCUUCUUAGCGCCGAUGGUAGUGAAGGGUUUCCCUUUGUGAGAGUAGGACGUCGCCAUGC